Molecule: long non-coding RNA, 540 nt
Filed under: Bemisia tabaci
Lineage: Eukaryota; Metazoa; Arthropoda; Insecta; Hemiptera; Aleyrodidae
Description: lncRNA ENSASIAIIG006630
Source: RNAcentral
CGCUCUCUCUCUCGCCUGCAGCUCCCCCUUCCUUCCAAGCGUCGGCCAUUUUCGUCCACUCUUCGCUUGAGGUCGCGUGCGUGAUGAUCGUGGAUCAACCCUUCCGGCACCAUGCUUCAACUUUGGUACUUUCUUCUCAUUCAUUACUUCUUUUCUCAAGUUUUAGCAUACCCGACUUUCAAGGAACGGUCUCGCGUACGAGUUUUCGGAGUGCGUCAACCUUCAAUGGAUAUCGUGUCGCGUUUCGUUGGGAAGAAUGAACAAUCGCUGAGUCACUUGUUUCGGGUCUCUUCCUUUCCCGCGCAAUUUCGUGAAUUUGUUCGUCGAUUUUGUGUCGUUGGACUUUUUUACUGUUUCAAGUGUUUCAUGUGUAUUCUUGCCGUAAAGGGAGUGAUCGAUUUUUUUUCUUUUCAGUGUAUUCUCUGUGCUAGUGUUGUGAGUGCUUUCAGCCAGGCGUCGGGCAAAUGGAUAACCGUCUAUUGGUAUGUACCUAAUAAUUUUACUCUUCCCUUUUCUCCCUUUAUUUAUGAUCUAAUUGUU